AAAACAGGCUGACCUCAGUCCCCUAAAUUGUUCCCCUGGUCUUUCUUCCACAGUGCUUGGUAAUCCUUCAUAGCCGACUCCUUUGUUCUUUGCAUCUGGACAGGGCUUCACUUUGUGAGAGUCUCCUAUUUCGAAAUAAGGAGACAGGGUAAAUCCUCCAGUCUUACCAGCUCUCCUGAGGCAGCUCUGGAGUUUCUGGAGACAUCACGUUCCCUGCUUAUUCCUGGAGAAACCUCAAUUCCAGUGUUCAGAGAGGACCUGAGCUUCAGAGAUUCAAGCUGGAAAACGGCUUCGUUCCCUGCUGCCUGGCACGACCUCAGGGGAUAUUUCUAGUGGUAGGAUUAAAGAUGGAUGCAGCCUGCUGGCCUCCUUCAACAUUGCCAUAUACCUACAGACACCCUGAGGAUGUACACCUCUACACUGAGAAGCAUGGGCUCCUGCAACCUGCUUGUCGGGGCUUUCAUUUAGCUCUCUCGACAAAUGUUUGCAGAAUUUAAGCUUGAUUACUGGAAAAUGGUGGGAAGCCCACACUCUCAUGGGUAGCCCUUCCUUUGCUGGCUAAUAGUAUUUGUUGGACAAUUUUAUUCCAUAAUAACAAAAUCUGCAUCCAGCUUAAUUCCAGCUCUGCCCUGGAGCAACUGAGAACAAAUCUGCCUUCUCUUCCCAUAUGACAGCUCUUCAAAUAUUUUAAACCCAUGCUCACGUCCCUGAAGAGUCUUUGCUUCCCUAGGCUAAGUAUUUCCUGUCCUUUCAAUUCCUAUAGUCAUACUUUGAGUGACACAGGAUCCAAAUUACUUGUUAGGAUUGUGCAGUAGUGAAUUUUUGAAAAAAAUAGGUGCUGAAUCCAGAGAGACCUGAAUUUGAAUCACCUUCAUCCAGUGGGGCCGACUGAAAGGAG
This 898-nucleotide long non-coding RNA is filed under the name Ictidomys tridecemlineatus (thirteen-lined ground squirrel). Its description in RNAcentral is "lncRNA (ENSSTOG00000031152.1)". Lineage: Eukaryota; Metazoa; Chordata; Mammalia; Rodentia; Sciuridae. The record is from RNAcentral.